GAUGAAGAACGCAGCGAAAUGCGAUAAGUAAUGUGAAUUGCAGAAUUCAGUGAAUCAUCGAAUCUUUGAACGCACAUUGCGCCCAUUAGUAUUCUAGUGGGCAUGCCUGUUCGAGCGUCAUUAAUUCCACUUAAGCCCUGCUUAGUGUUGGGAAUCUACUCUAGUGGUGCUACCCUGGAGCUACCCCUGAAAGGGGGCUGGCCCGGUAGCUACCCUGUAGUUCCUCAAAGAUAGUGCGCUGAGUUGCGUGGUCCUCUGAGCUUAGUAACUAUACACCUAGCUUUUGAGUGUCCCGCGGCGCCUGCCGUUUAAACCCCAUCUUUUAAUGGUUGACCUCGGAUCAGGUAGGAAUACCCGCUGAACUUAAGCAUAUCAAUAAGCGGAGGA
This 387-nucleotide unclassified non-coding RNA is filed under the name soil metagenome. RNAcentral describes it as "partial contains 5.8S ribosomal RNA, internal transcribed spacer 2, and large subunit ribosomal RNA". The stretch from base 1 to 120 matches the Rfam family "5.8S ribosomal RNA", at positions 35 to 154 of the family's 154-position model. The record is from RNAcentral.